GAUUAACGCUGGCGGCGUGCAUAACACAUGCAAGUCGAACGAUGAAACUUAACUGAUUUCUUCGGAAUGAUUUUAAGUGGAUUAGUGGCGGACGGGUGAGUAACGCGUGAGUAACCUGCCUUGGAGAAGGGGAUAGCCUUUGGAAACGAAGAAUAAUACCCUAUGAUAUGAUAAUAUCUCAUGAUAUUAUCAUCAAAGAUUUAUCGCUCUAAGAUGGACUUGCGUCUGAUUAGUUAGUUGGUGAGGUAACAGCUCACCAAGGCAGCGAUCAGUAGCCGGCUUGAGAGAGUGUACGGCCACAUUGGGACUGAGACACGGCCCAGACUCCUACGGGAGGCAGCAGUGGGGAAUUUUGCACAAUGGGGGAAACCCUGAUGCAGCGACGCCGCGUGAUUUAGAAGGCCUUCGGGUUGUAAAAAUCUUUUGUAUGGGAAGAAAAUGACAGUACCAUACGAAUAAGGACCGGCUAAUUACGUGC
Molecule: ribosomal RNA, 478 nt
Filed under: uncultured bacterium
Lineage: Bacteria
Description: partial 16S ribosomal RNA
Rfam family: Bacterial small subunit ribosomal RNA
Source: RNAcentral